UACGGAGGGUGCGAGCGUUAAUCGGAAUUACUGGGCGUAAAGCGCGCGUAGGCGGCUUGAUUAGUCGGAUGUGAAAGCCCCGGGCUUAACCUGGGAAUUGCAUUCGAUACUGUCUGGCUAGAGUAUGGGAGAGGGAAGUGGAAUUUCCGGUGUAGCGGUGAAAUGCGUAGAUAUCGGAAGGAACACCAGUUGCGAAGGCGGCUUCCUGGCCCAAUACUGACGCUGAGGUGCGAAAGCGUGGGGAGCGAACAGG
This 253-nucleotide ribosomal RNA is filed under the name uncultured bacterium. RNAcentral's name for it is "partial 16S ribosomal RNA". It matches the Rfam family "Bacterial small subunit ribosomal RNA", at positions 524 to 776 of the family's 1533-position model. The record is from RNAcentral.